RNAcentral lists this ribosomal RNA (468 nucleotides) under uncultured bacterium. RNAcentral's name for it is "partial 16S ribosomal RNA". It matches the Rfam family "Bacterial small subunit ribosomal RNA", at positions 28 to 507 of the family's 1533-position model. The record is from RNAcentral.
GACGAACGCUGGCGGCGUGCUUAACACAUGCAAGUCGAACGGAAAGGCCCUGCUUUUGUGGGGUGCUCGAGUGGCGAACGGGUGAGUAACACGUGAGUAACCUGCCCUUGACUUUGGGAUAACUUCAGGAAACUGGGGCUAAUACCGUAUAGGAGCUCCUGCUGCAUGGUGGGGGUUGGAAAGUUUCGGCGGUUGGGGAUGGACUCGCGGCUUAUCAGCUUGUUGGUGGGGUAGUGGCUUACCAAGGCUUUGACGGGUAGCCGGCCUGAGAGGGUGACCGGCGACAUUGGGACUGCGAUACGGACCAGACUCCUACGGGAGGCAGCAGUGGGGAAUAUUGCACAAUGGGCGGGAGCCUGAUGCAGCAACGCCGCGUGCGGGAUGACGGCCUUCGGGUUGUAAACCGCUUUCGCCUGUGACGAAGCGUGAGUGACGGUAAUGGGUAAAGAAGCACCGGCUAACUACGUG